CAAUUUUCAGCGACGGAUAUCUUGGCUCGAGCACCUAUGAAGGGCGCAGCGAAGUGCGAUAAUCGUUGUGAAUUGCAGAACUCCGUGAACCAGUGGCCUCUUGAACGUGCAUUGCGCUCUUGGGAUAUGCCUGAGAGCAUGUCUGCUUCAGUG
Molecule: ribosomal RNA, 153 nt
Filed under: uncultured Symbiodinium
Lineage: Eukaryota; Dinophyceae; Suessiales; Symbiodiniaceae
Description: 5.8S ribosomal RNA
Rfam family: 5.8S ribosomal RNA
About the family: 5.8S ribosomal RNA (5.8S rRNA) is a component of the large subunit of the eukaryotic ribosome. It is transcribed by RNA polymerase I as part of the 45S precursor that also contains 18S and 28S rRNA.
Source: RNAcentral